AUUGAACGCUGGCGGCAUGCCUUACACAUGCAAGUCGAACGGCAGCACGGGUGCUUGCACCUGGUGGCGAGUGGCGAACGGGUGAGUAAUACAUCGGAACAUGUCCUGUAGUGGGGGAUAGCCCGGCGAAAGCCGGAUUAAUACCGCAUACGAUCUACGGAUGAAAGCGGGGGACCUUCGGGCCUCGCGCUAUAGGGUUGGCCGAUGGCUGAUUAGCUAGUUGGUGGGGUAAAGGCCUACCAAGGCGACGAUCAGUAGCUGGUCUGAGAGGACGACCAGCGACACUGGGACUGAGACACGGCCCAGACUCCUACGGGAGGCAGCAGUGGGGAAUUUUGGACAAUGGGCGAAAGCCUGAUCCAGCAAUGCCGCGUGUGUGAAGAAGGCCUUCGGGUUGUAAAGCACUUUUGUCCGGAAAGAAAUCCUUGGCCCUAAUACGGUCGGGGGAUGACGGUACCGGAAGAAUAAGCACCGGCUAACUACGUG
RNAcentral lists this ribosomal RNA (486 nucleotides) under uncultured bacterium. Its description in RNAcentral is "partial 16S ribosomal RNA". It matches the Rfam family "Bacterial small subunit ribosomal RNA", at positions 30 to 507 of the family's 1533-position model. The record is from RNAcentral.